AUCACUUGUAAGAGCCGACACACCAGACUCGCCUUUGCGCUUGUUCUCAACGCUGCACAGCCAGUAAGAGUUGUCUUCAAUCACGCUUCUUCAGAGGCUCAACGGACUCAAACUGGUUUUGGCUGUCGCUUGCCACUCAGUGGCCUGGGUCCUCCUCACAGGUGUGAGUAGGACCACUUGGGCAGCUGGCCACUGAGACAACACAACAGCCCCAAGCUCCUGUUACGCUUGCGCUCACAAACUGCACUGAUCCUCCACUGUCACCGCUGUACCGCUGCCGCUCUGUGUCUCUUCAAUACCUGCCGGGCUUUGGAAGCUGCCAGCAACCGCACGUCACCACUGGUGUAACACGACGGUCUGCUUUCCCCUUCACGCGUGUCUGCUGGCUGGUGAGGGUACCUCUGGCCAGGCGUCACCUCGCGGGCUGUGCGGUGGCGAGUGUCCCCUUCGCGCUCGUCCUCAAGAGCUCACGGCACGCCGCUCUGUGUCUCUUCAAUACCUGCCGGGCUUUGGAAGCUGCCAGCAACCGCACGUCACCACUGGUGUAACACGACGGUCUGCUUUCCCCUUCACGCGUGUCUGCUGGCUGCCGGCUGCACGCUCUGAGGCCUCAAUGGCUGUGAGGAAGGGAUGGUAGUUGUAGCGUUGCCACAGGUGGGUGGUCUGGACAUACGCGAUUUGCGUAACGGAAGACCCGGCCAAGCAGAGACUUGCGGAGAAAAGUGUGUAAACGGGGCGCCGAUCCACGCACUUGGAGUACGGAAGGAGCCAGCGGCGGAGAGACGGCAUCAUGGACAAGAAUACUAAAGAGAACCAUUCUGGACACCAUAGCUAUGCUGCUAAGACUGUAAAUCCCAUCGGGGAUGGCCCAAAACGUGUCCCUGUGCCUCAGCAUUCUGCUCACAGCCGGUUACUAAGCAGUGGAGUCCAAGCACAACGUGUUCUAUGUCCUUCGAACUUGGCCCAGCGAGUUCCUGUACAAACGCAAAAAUCUGCACUGUCAAACCAAAAACUGUCCAACAACCAGACAGGGCAGCAGCCACGACCAAAAUCUCUGGUCCAGCCAACUGCUAGGCCUCAAGUUCCAAGCAAGAACAAUGAAAAACCUCAGCAGGCUCCAGGAUCUGGUAAUUAAGAUGAUGCAUAUGUGGUCAAAUAGUUGUGACACUUGGGAUGCUUCCAUUCUAUGAAGCAGAGUGCAGUGCAAGAAUUUUGAAGCUGAUCUUAAUGAUAUGUGGGAGUCUUGUACGGAAAUAUCUGGCUGCACCCAGAAACAGAAUUGUAACACUUGAUCUUGGAUGUUACUGCCAGGAUUGCAUGUUUAGAACUAAUAUGGGUGUUUCUUUGCUCUUGAAAAACUUCCAGCUACUUAUUAGUCAACUGUGAAUUAAAGAAAUUGGCACUAAUUCAUCAUGAUCUUUAUUACCAAAGAUAUUAAAAUGAAUAAUAAAGUGCUGUAUUGAUGGUGGUGGGGAGGCGGG
Molecule: long non-coding RNA, 1481 nt
Filed under: Struthio camelus australis
Lineage: Eukaryota; Metazoa; Chordata; Aves; Struthioniformes; Struthionidae
Description: lncRNA (ENSSCUG00000017903.1)
Source: RNAcentral